GUGCUCACUUCAGCAGCACAUAUACUAACAUUGAAAUGACACAGAGGACUUUAGCAUGACCCCUGUGCAAGGAUGACAUGCAAAUUUUUGAAGUGUUCCAUAUUUUA
Molecule: small nuclear RNA, 107 nt
Filed under: Rhinopithecus bieti (black snub-nosed monkey)
Lineage: Eukaryota; Metazoa; Chordata; Mammalia; Primates; Cercopithecidae
Source: RNAcentral